RNAcentral lists this ribosomal RNA (255 nucleotides) under uncultured bacterium. Its description in RNAcentral is "partial 16S ribosomal RNA". It matches the Rfam family "Bacterial small subunit ribosomal RNA", at positions 524 to 777 of the family's 1533-position model. The record is from RNAcentral.
UACGUAGGGUGCGAGCGUUAAUCGGAAUUACUGGGCGUAAAGCGUGCGCAGGCGGUGAUGUAAGACAGAUGUGAAAUCCCCGGGCUCAACCUGGGAACUGCAUCUGUGACUGUAUAGCUAGAGUACGGUAGAGGGGGAUGGAAUUCCGCGGUGUAGCAGUGAAAUGCGUAGAUAUGCGGAGGAACACCGAUGGCGAAGGCAAUCCCCUGGACCUGUACUGACGCUCAUGCACGAAAGCGUGGGGAGCAAACGAGG